Molecule: ribosomal RNA, 492 nt
Filed under: uncultured bacterium
Lineage: Bacteria
Description: partial 16S ribosomal RNA
Rfam family: Bacterial small subunit ribosomal RNA
Source: RNAcentral
AGUGAACGCUGGCGGUAGGCCUAACACAUGCAAGUCGAACGGCAGCACAGUAAGAGCUUGCUCUUACGGGUGGCGAGUGGCGGACGGGUGAGGAAUACAUCGGAAUCUACUUUUUCGUGGGGGAUAACGUAGGGAAACUUACGCUAAUAUCGCAUACGACCUACGGGUGAAAGCAGGGGAUCUUCGGACCUUGCGCGAUUGAAUGAGCCGAUGUCGGAUUAGCUAGUUGGCGGGGUAAAGGCCCACCAAGGCGACGAUCCGUAGCUGGUCUGAGAGGAUGAUCAGCCACACUGGAACUGAGACACGGUCCAGACUCCUACGAGAGGCAGCAGUGGGGAAUGUUGGACAAUGGGCGCAAGCCUGAUCCAGCCAUACCGCGUGGGUGAAGAAGGCCUUCGGGUUGUAAAGCCCUUUUGUUGGGAAAGAAAAGCAGCAGGUUAAUACCCCGCUGUUCUGACGGUACCCAAAGAAUAAGCACCGGCUAACUUCGUG